Sebastes umbrosus (honeycomb rockfish) is the source of this 159-nucleotide long non-coding RNA. RefSeq lists it as uncharacterized. The transcript has 3 exons. The record is from RefSeq and is a predicted model, not a curated record. Lineage: Eukaryota; Metazoa; Chordata; Actinopteri; Perciformes; Sebastidae.
CUCCCGUCCUCUCCCCUCUGACCACCUGUCUCUCCUCCUCUGCUGUCUCAUUCAGACCGUUCAAAGACAGGGUCGCUAAGAAAAUAAACACCCAAAGCACUACUUUAUUCUGAAGCCCACGUUAUAGCGUUUGUUGCCGUAAUUUGCCGUUAGCUUAGA